Planococcus sp. PAMC 21323 is the source of this 149-nucleotide regulatory RNA element. It matches the Rfam family "Ribosomal protein L10 leader". From Rfam's summary of the family: This family is a putative r-protein leader autoregulatory structure found in B. subtilis and other low-GC Gram-positive bacteria. It is located in the 5' untranslated regions of mRNAs encoding ribosomal proteins L10 and L12 (rplJ-rplL). Lineage: Bacteria; Bacillati; Bacillota; Bacilli; Caryophanales; Caryophanaceae. The record is from Rfam.
GUGAAAUACCCAUUUGUACCGCAGACAGUAGGGGCGCUAGUCGCUUAAUUUAGCCCUGCCGAGGACAUGAUGAAUUCAGUAAACAUCUUUUUGAUGCUGAUUUUAUGCCUCUGUGUCUGUAAUGGACCAGAGGCUUUUCUUAUGGACGG